AAUCAAGUGGAGGACAAGUCUGGUGCCAGCACCCGCGGUAAUUCCAGCUCCACUAGCGUAUAUUAAAGUUGUUGCAGUUAAAAAGCUCGUAGUUGAACCUCUGUCUGGGGCUAGUUUUGGCUUUGGUCAGGCUAGUUCUAGGCAUCCGCCUACAAGACUUAGAGGGCAUUCAGUUGUUCACUAGGAGAGUAGGCAUUUUACUUUGAAAAAAUUAGAGUGUUUAAGGCAGGCAAUCGCCCGCAUAUAUUAGCAUGGAAUAAUAGAAUAGGACACUUUUCCAUUUCGUUGGUUAUUGGAAUCGUGUAAUGAUUAAUAGGGACAGUUGUGGGCAUUUGUAUUUAAUUGCCAGAGGUGAAAUUCUUGGAUUUAUUAAAGACAAACUAACGCGAAAGCAUUUGCCAAGGAUGUUUUCAUUAAUCAAGAACGAAAGUUAGGGGAUCAAAGACGAUCAGAUACCGUCCUAGUCUUAACUAUAAACUAUUCCGACUCAAUGUUUGACUGGCUUAUAUAACCAGUUGAGCGUUGUAUGAGAAAUCAAAGUCUUUAGGUUCUGGGGGGAGUAUGGUUGCAAAGCUGAAACUUAAAGGAAUUGACGGAAGAGCACAACCAGGAGUGGAUUCUGCGGCUUAAUUUGACUCAACACGGGGAAACUUACCAGGUUAAAACAAUAGUGGGAUUGACAGCUUGAGAGCGCUUUCUUGAUUGGUUGGGUGGUGGUGCAUGGCCGUUCUUAGUUGGUGGAGUGAUUUGUCUGCUUAAUUGCGUUAACGAACGAGACCUUAACCUGCUUACUAGACUGGCGAUCAUCAAUCGUUAGCUCUUCUUAGAGGGACUUUGGUUGUUUUAACUCCAAGGAAGUUUGAGGCAAUAACAGGUCUGUGAUGCCCUUAGAUAUCCUGGGCCGCACGCGUCAUACAAUGACUAGUUCAGAAAGUUUUCUCCUGACCCGAAAGGGGAUGGGUAAUCUUGAUAAUACUAGUCGUGUUAGGGAUCGAUCUUUGCAAUUAUAGAUCUUGAACGAGGAAUUCCUAGUAAGUGCGGUUCAUCAGACCGUACUGAUUACGUCCCUGCUCUUUGUACUCACCGCCCGUCGCUUCUACCGAGUGGGUGGUCCGGUGAGAUAAUUGAACUUCGCAGGUAACUGAGAGGAAAGAUUAUCAAACCUAUCCACCU
RNAcentral lists this ribosomal RNA (1173 nucleotides) under metagenome. Its description in RNAcentral is "SSU rRNA". It matches the Rfam family "Eukaryotic small subunit ribosomal RNA", at positions 542 to 1774 of the family's 1831-position model. The record is from RNAcentral.